CAGCCACACACAGCUCUGCUGAAACGCCAGCGCCUUCAGCUGCUGCUGAGCCCACAGAAGCACCACAGCCACUGCCCGCUUGCGAGGUACAGAGGAAAUCCUCGUGCAGACAAAGCCCCUUUUAUGCUGCCAUAACCUGGUUUACGUUGAGCAGACCAUUUGCCAGCACAAGUAAUACCAAAUUUCUCCCAUUUUAUCAUGAGAAGCUUGAAAAAUCUGUAAGGAACUGGAUAGCUGAGGUCUCAAGACAUCUGCCGAGAUGGAAAGUCAACUGCCUUUUUCCUUUGCAAGUCAGACAUUCUUCCAGCAAGUUGACACAAAACACAGUGAUUAAUGAAACCAUGUGCUUUUAGAAAAUUAUUUUUCUUCCCCAGUCUAUCUCAAUUCCUUAGUCCCAUACCUGUUCCCAAGGGACAUACUGUGACUUCGGGCUUAUCUCCCUUCCACUCUCCUGUUAUGCUGAAAAACAAUACAAAAAGUUGCUGUGCUCUUUCACACUGGCUUGAUAUUCAUCAGCAAGGCUGAAUUAAGUCAGUUGUAAUUAUAGCAUGGAGCAAGUCAGGAGGAGAAGAAAGGAGACUCUGGAGAGCCAAGAUUCCAGAGCACUGUUUUGUUACCAUUCCCAGCAUCCUGCAUGGGUGGCUGUGUCCCUAUCCUUUGUCUCACACCCAAAAGUAUCACUGAAAGUGGAAGAUCUCCAUGAAAACGUCAGUAAGGAGCAGUCCAGGAAUCCUGGAAUAUUCCCUCCUGAUUCAACCAGUCCUUUUCAUUAUGGAGAAAAAGAUCUAUGCUGGAUUUUUCUCUCCAGUCGUUCUUAUCCUCACAGUUUUUCUUGGAUUCAGCUGCAUGGGUCACUGCUAAAACUGUAAUUGCAAAAGGUAGCAAUGAAUUCUCUGAAAACCUGAACAUUUAAAUAACUGCAGCUUCCCUAACCAGCCCUGCUCCAGGAAGGUUCCAUCCUACCCAGAUUUCACCCCAAAACCCACCUCGACCAUGACAGCCACGUGGCAACAGCUGAGGGAGGUUUCCUGGAUCUGUGCCCACCUGGAAGCCACAAAGUGGCUCCAAAGGCACAGCAGAAACUUUUCAGGGAGUUUUCCUCCUCCUCUCCACACUACAAAUACCUCCCUCUCUCAGCAAAUUUUACAAUGCCCAGAAUAGAACCUUGCUGAAAAUAAGUUUCUGUUGUGCUGCAAAACACUGCUGUGGAGUCAGUGACUUCAGUGUUUGGGUAUUACAAACAGACAGGGGCAGAUCCACAGUUUAACCAGUGAACAGCUUGGAAUCCCCUCUGCUGAAAGGUGAUUUCACCAUGGAAGAAGGUAUCCACUGUCAGAUGGUUUAGUGAUAACCUUCUGCUAAAUAAGGGAAUUCAGGGAGCUGCGGAAAAAAGGGGAGGAGAAAGGAUAUAAAUUUGUAUUUUCAUCACAUCUUGAGUUCCCUACUUCAGGUAAGAAGAGAUCAAGCUAUUUCCAUUGGAAACCCUGGCCCUAAAGGCCUCUGGUUAUAAUUACACAUCUUGUUUCAUUAUGACAACUGGAUAAAUUAUAUAUUCACCAACAGUUGAGCUUUGGAAUGAACAACAAGCAUAGGGGGCAGUUAAAAGGAGAAAAGAGAGGUGCAUUAUCCCAGAUACAGCUCCUCAAACUCGGGAUUGGACAAGACUAGCCAGAAUUACAUGAAGUUUCCCUAAAACUGGGACUGCAGUUGGCCCUAAAGCUCCACAGACUCUGGCCUAUCACUGUGUCUCAGGCACCCAGACGUGAGUGUGUUUGCUGAUAAAUUACAACACCUCUUGGAAACCCUGGAAAUUACUUGUCGUGCCAAGCUAUGGUUUCAUUUUUAACCAGUAAACUUCUAAAUUUCACCCCUCCAAAAUCAAAACAUAGUCUCAAAAUUCCUCACAUGCCAAACCUACUCUUCUCCCCACCUUAUUCCAGGAGCUGCUGGCAGAAAAUGAACCUAAACCCCAUGGAAUUUAUACAAGUGGAAAAGUGUACGUGCAGUGGGACUGGAUGCACCACAGCUCUGUGCAGACUGGCAGGCAACCUCUAACCUAUUUAACUGGAGUCUGAAAAAAGAUAAUUUUUAUUUGGCUGGACUGAAACAGAUCUGGAUGUAUACAACUGAGGCACAUUGUAACGAAUGCAAACACUGCAGACUCAUUUCAUAGCUAUGCCUAGUCCAAAUUAAUCUGAAUUCAAAUCCAAACUAGGUGGUGAAAUAGGAUAAAAUGCAGCUGCAGAUCUUCUCCUUCAGCACACACGUACAAAGAGCCACACAGACGUCACACCCGACAUGGUGUGGGAAGAUCUGCCCUCCCAGGCUGCAGAAAUACUUAGAAAUUAGUCAGCAGUUAAAAAAAGGUCCAGGAUGUUGAGUACAAACCUGAGGACUGGUUUUGUUCCUGAGAUUACAAAAGAUAGCGCGAUAAAAAAGUGAGUUUAUUUAUGGUUACCUUUAGUCACCUUAUCUGUGGACAAGGGAAAAUACCCCACUCUCACCUGAAGGAAGUUAAUACAGGUGGAACUUUGAGAGCGACUUUGAAGUUGUACUCUGAAAGCAUUUCCAUAAAUAUUAUUCUUGUGCCAAUCUCCAUUUAGCACGGAAGUAUUUGAAAUUCAGAAUUGCUUACACGCAGCCCUGGAGAAGAGCUUGAAAACUGAGGGAAAGUUCGAGCCUUAGCACCCAGUGUGUGCCAGCAGGAUGAGCAUGAACUCUCUACAGCAUUCAUGGGACAGAUGUUGUGGAAAAGUCCAUUUCCAACCAUCUGCAGUGUUUGUUUCCAGGGCUGGAAGCUUCUACAUGGGUUCCUUCACUAGCAUCCUUGUUUGACUGCUGUGCCUCUCUCCCUCCAGUCUCAAUCUCCUCAGAACAUUAAGAACUGAGAAAUCGAAAAAAAAGCAGCCUGAAAUGUGGGCUUUAUUCAAACAGAAACAUGAACAAACCCAGCAGCCAUCUGGUCCCAUGGUUUUGGUUGCUGAGUUGAGGGGCCACAUCCUGAGGAGAUUCUGCAAGACCUCACACAGGGGCUCACAAACCCUUCAAGUAAACAUUUGUCUCUGGGAACUAAAGCCAUGAUCCAAAAAAAGGUAAUUCUCCUUUACUGCCACAUCUCUAUACAUCAGUCAUGGCAGAACAUUGAAGUUCUUUGUCAAUCCUUUUAAUCACCUGUGUGCAGCACCACCAGAGGCAGGACAGGCAUCCUUGGAUGGCAGAGCCCUCCUAAACUCACCCAAUUCACGGGAUCAAACAAAGUGCAGAACGUGGAAUCCCAGUGGGAUCCAACCCAGAGGAUGUGUUUUUACAGAAGACUGAGAGGACAGGAGGGAAGGAAAGCUUCAGGCAGGGACCUGCAUCUCCUGCAUGCCCUACCUUUGUCACAGAGGGGAGAUUUCCCAUAUAUGGCCCAAGGCAGCAGGGUCACAUUGCAGUGCAGGCUUCUGGCAAGCCCAGACAUUCAGACACCAUGAGUCAGUGCUCCAGAAAUCACUCGGGUUUAGAAACCAUCAAAUCUGCUUUUGGUUGGGUUUUUUAAUUCACCUUCAGUUGGGGUUUUUCCUUCAACCUCUGCACCAUCCCAUUUUCAUUUUGCUCCUCUGUAACUGGCAGGAGCAUUUCUUUCGAUUCUGGGGUUGUUUUGCUUUGUAAAAUGACAGACAAGAUUUUCAUGUUAAACUAAAUCCUGGUGUCAGGGCAUGAAAAAUAAAACCAGACCAACUAUCAUGGAGUUUGGGAACAUACUAAGCUGUCUUGUACUUUCACACAGCUCUCUAACAACAAAGAAUACUUAUUUUUAAAAUAAAACCUCAAAACAUGUUCACUUCUGUCCUCAGAUCCCAAACAACCAUUUAUCUGGCAUUUCAGCACAACCAGACAGGACUGCUGCCAGUAAGAAGUUCCCUAUGACACAAUCUUUUCCACCACUGACCUGAUAACAUCAGCAUGACCUUUCUUCUCUUUUGAACUCUACUUUUCCCAGUUCAAUAGUUCAGCAGAAACUGAUCCAUUUUUGAUUACACAAACAAAAUCAGAUACCAGAUAGUCCUAUUAAAAAAAAAUUCCAAAUUUCAAAAUAUAUCAUUGGGUAAUUAUUUUCAGAUUAGUAAUGGGAUAAAUAAUGUGGGAAAAUUCAGGGUGAGGAUUUUUAGUUUCAGUUUCCAACUCUGUGAGUCUGGGCCACUUCAGUUCUCUGUGCCGGAGUUUUCCAUAAGCAAAAUACAGAUAAUGCCCCAUCAGGGAAUGGAAUCAAUAUUUCAUUUCUUUAAAGCAGUACUGUACUCAUAAUGGAAUUAAAUACUUUGAGAGAACUGCAGAGCUCAUAGAAAUGAGACACUUAAGGGAAGAAAUGCCUCCUUGCAAUUCUGCAGAGCAUCCUAACAAUUCUACAACACGUAAUAUAAACAGGACAA
Long non-coding RNA from Prinia subflava (tawny-flanked prinia), 4412 nucleotides. RefSeq lists it as uncharacterized. The record is from RefSeq and is a predicted model, not a curated record. Lineage: Eukaryota; Metazoa; Chordata; Aves; Passeriformes; Cisticolidae. The transcript has 3 exons.